AGCGAACGCUGGCGGCAGGCCUAGCACAUGCAAGUCGAGCGGGCACUUUCGGGUGUCAGCGGCGGACGGGUGAGUAACGCGUGGGAACGUGCCCUCUGGUUCGGAAUAACUCAGGGAAACUUGAGCUAAUACCGGAUACGCCCUUUUGGGGAAAGGCUUGCUGCCGGAGGAUCGGCCCGCGUCUGAUUAGCUAGUUGGUGAGGUAACGGCUCACCAAGGCGACGAUCAGUAGCUGGGCUGAGAGGAUGAUCAGCCACACUGGGACUGAGACACGGCCCAGAAUCCUACGGGAGGCAGCAGUGGGGAAUAUUGGAAAAUGGGCGCAAGCCUGAUCCAGCCAUGCCGGGUGAGUGAUGAAGGCCUUAGGGUUGUAAAGCUCUUUUAUCCGGGACGAUAAUGACGGUACCGGAGGAAUAAGCCCCGGCUAACUUCGUG
RNAcentral lists this ribosomal RNA (435 nucleotides) under uncultured bacterium. RNAcentral's name for it is "partial 16S ribosomal RNA". It matches the Rfam family "Bacterial small subunit ribosomal RNA", at positions 29 to 507 of the family's 1533-position model. The record is from RNAcentral.